CCUGGUGGCUCACCAAGCUGAGGAGUUCUGAGGUGCUGGGUGUGAGGCCUCUGCAUGUGACCCCGCUAUGAGCAAGUGGAAGUAGUUGAAGCGCAAAGGAUAAAGAGCACAGAAAAUUUGAAGAAAUUCAAGAGGUGCUGGGCACUAGUCACCAAGGAGAAAGGACAACAAAGGAAAAGCAACGUCAACUAUAAAAAAACCUUUUCAGUGGAUCCCUUUGUGGAUCAGGAGAAAAAUCCAGCUUAUUUCCUCUAUUCCUUGUUCACACUGAAACAGAAUGACAUAGAUAUCAGUUACCAGGCCAACACUGCCUGCGUCUGCACGGUUGAAGAAGAUCUUGGGGGCUGCUUGAAAUGAG
Molecule: long non-coding RNA, 358 nt
Organism: Cervus elaphus (red deer)
Lineage: Eukaryota; Metazoa; Chordata; Mammalia; Artiodactyla; Cervidae
Exons: 3
Source: RefSeq, a predicted model, not a curated record